AGGCAGCCCCUUUGUCAAAUUACAAUGGCAAUGGAGGUGUUGCGUUGCUCGAAGAUUAAAUCUUCUGAUCUUCAGAUUGGCUGAGGGGGAUGCUCUGCUUCCCUCCCUGAAGCCGGUCUAGUAGUCUUACGGACAUC
Brachypodium distachyon (stiff brome) is the source of this 137-nucleotide non-coding RNA. The record is from Rfam. Lineage: Eukaryota; Viridiplantae; Streptophyta; Magnoliopsida; Poales; Poaceae.